Molecule: long non-coding RNA, 241 nt
Filed under: Cyanistes caeruleus (blue tit)
Lineage: Eukaryota; Metazoa; Chordata; Aves; Passeriformes; Paridae
Description: lncRNA (ENSCCEG00000015499.1)
Source: RNAcentral
CUGUUCUCUUCACAGUGCCUCUCCUAUUAAAGGAAAAUUGUGACUGUGAGGAAUCUGCCUAGGAGCCAUGAGUCUUUAGAGGAAUCUGAUCACCAAGGGACCAGUGGAGUCACACCAGGUCAAGUUCUUUACCUGCACGGAGUUAAUGUGGAAUCUAUGUGAAUAAUAAGGUACUGCUUCAUAUUAUGGUAUGUCAUUUUUAUAGGAGUAACACCAAUAAUAAAACUUUGAUAUUACAGCA